This 479-nucleotide ribosomal RNA is filed under the name uncultured bacterium. RNAcentral describes it as "partial 16S ribosomal RNA". It matches the Rfam family "Bacterial small subunit ribosomal RNA", at positions 28 to 507 of the family's 1533-position model. The record is from RNAcentral.
GAUGAACGCUGGCGGCGUGCUUAACACAUGCAAGUCGAACGAAGCACUUUAACCUGAUUCUUCGGAUGAAGGUUUUUGUGACUGAGUGUCGGACGGGUGAGUAACGCGUGGGUAACCUGCCUCAUACAGGGGGAUAACAGUUAGAAAUGACUGCUAAUACCGCACAAGACCACAGAGCCGCAUGGCUCGGUGGGUAAAACUCCGGUGGUAUGGGAGGGCCCCGCGUCUGGUUAGGUAGUUGGUGGGGUAACGGCCUAUCACACCAACGACCAGUAGCCGACAUGUGAGGGUGACCGGACACAUCGGGAGUGAGACACGGUCGAAAAUCCUACGGGAGGCAGGCGUGGGGAAUAUUGCACAAUGGGGGAAAUCCUGAUGCAGCGACGCUGCGUGAGCGAAGAAGUAGGGCGGUAUGUAAAGCUCUAUCAGCAGGGAAGAAAAUGACGGUACCUGACGAAGAAGCACCGGCUAAAUACGUG